GACGAACGCUGGCGGCGUGCCUAAUACAUGCAAGUAGAACGCUGAAGGAGGAGCUUGCUUCUCCGGAUGAGUUGCGAACGGGUGAGUAACGCGUAGGUAACCUGCCUGGUAGCGGGGGAUAACUAUUGGAAACGAUAGCUAAUACCGCAUAAUAGUAGAUGUUGCAUGACAUUUGCUUAAAAGGUGCAAUUGCAUCACUACCAGAUGGACCUGCGUUGUAUUAGCUAGUUGGUGGGGUAACGGCUCACCAAGGCGACGAUACAUAGCCGACCUGAGAGGGUGAUCGGCCACACUGGGACUGAGACACGGCCCAGACUCCUACGGGAGGCAGCAGUAGGGAAUCUUCGGCAAUGGACGGAAGUCUGACCGAGCAACGCCGCGUGAGUGAAGAAGGUUUUCGGAUCGUAAAGCUCUGUUGUAAGAGAAGAACGAGUGUGAGAGUGGAAAGUUCACACUGUGACGGUAUCUUACCAGAAAGGGACGGCUAACUACGUGCCAGCAGCCGCGGUAAUACGUAGGUCCCGAGCGUUGUCCGGAUUUAUUGGGCGUAAAGCGAGCGCAGGCGGUUAGAUAAGUCUGAAGUUAAAGGCUGUGGCUUAACCAUAGUACGCUUUGGAAACUGUUUAACUUGAGUGCAAGAGGGGAGAGUGGAAUUCCAUGUGUAGCGGUGAAAUGCGUAGAUAUAUGGAGGAACACCGGUGGCGAAAGCGGCUCUCUGGCUUGUAACUGACGCCGAGGCUCGAAAGCGUGGGGAGCAAACAGG
Molecule: ribosomal RNA, 763 nt
Filed under: uncultured Streptococcus sp.
Lineage: Bacteria; Bacillati; Bacillota; Bacilli; Lactobacillales; Streptococcaceae
Description: bacterial SSU rRNA
Rfam family: Bacterial small subunit ribosomal RNA
Source: RNAcentral